AGGAAUUCCCGCUAAACGACAUCUAUACAGAGCCUUUCUGCUGACACGGGCCAGCAAGUGGUUAAUAUCAAAAAGCAGACAUCUGAAGAGGCACUGACACCCUCCCACUCACAGAAGAUCUGGCCUUAUGUUAACAAUGUGUCGAAAGCACACUUAUUGGAGCAUAUCAGGAACAGCUGAACACAAGCGCAGCUUGGAAAUUUUUCUGGGUUGGGCCAAGGAACCUAAGAAAAAGCAUCCAGGGACACCUAGACCUCAAAAGUUACCUGGCAAAGUUUUUUGCAUCUGCCAAAGUUUGUUUCCAAGGACUCUGGCGGGCUUCCGUAAUGUAUUGUAAUGCUUAUCCGA
RNAcentral lists this long non-coding RNA (348 nucleotides) under Homo sapiens (human). RNAcentral's name for it is "long intergenic non-protein coding RNA 2641". Lineage: Eukaryota; Metazoa; Chordata; Mammalia; Primates; Hominidae. The record is from RNAcentral.